AUAGGGGGCAAGCGUUGUCCGGAAUCACUGGGCGUAAAGGGCGCGCAGGCGGUAAAUUAAGUCAGGUGUGAAAGUUCGGGGCUCAACCCCGUGAUUGCACCUGAUACUGAUAAACUAGAGUGUUGGAGAGGUAAGUGGAAUUCCUAGUGUAGCGGUGGAAUGCGUAGAUAUUAGGAGGAACACCAGUGGCGAAGGCGACUUACUGGCCAAUAACUGACGCUGAGGCGCGAAAGCGUGGGGAGCAAACAGGGAUUAGAUACCCUGGUAGUCCACGCCGUAAACGAUGAGUACUAGGUGUUGGUUGUUUCGAAACAAUCGGUGCCCGGAGUAAACACAAUAAGUACUCCGCCUGGGGAGUACGGUCGCAAGACUG
Molecule: ribosomal RNA, 373 nt
Filed under: uncultured organism
Description: partial 16S ribosomal RNA
Rfam family: Bacterial small subunit ribosomal RNA
Source: RNAcentral